This is a long non-coding RNA of Lolium rigidum, 1474 nucleotides long. RefSeq lists it as uncharacterized. Lineage: Eukaryota; Viridiplantae; Streptophyta; Magnoliopsida; Poales; Poaceae. The record is from RefSeq and is a predicted model, not a curated record. The transcript has 3 exons.
AGAAAACCCUAUUUGUUCACAAUCUGAAGAAAUGCUCGCAUGGGCUAAUCUCUUUUUUCAACUAAAGCUUCUGGGUCAUAAUAUAUAUGUAUUUGUCUACUAUGGUGUUCUUGGAGAUACAGUCUGAGGUCCAAAGAUGCAAGCUGGCCAUUUUUGUUAGAAACCUGGUCAGAUGAUACAUUGACAUGCCUUGCCGAUAACAAGUGUUGUUUACAGGAUGUUGUAAGAAAAAGAAUGGCAUCUCCAAAUAAUACUAAAUAACUCACAGUAGAGAUGAAAGAUCUUCGUAAGGUUCAUCAUGUCAGUCUGGUAUGCCAUUUUACAGUUCUCAUAGGAUACCUAAUCUAGAUUAUAUCUCAAAACUCCUGUUGUUUCUUAUUUAUUUGGUGACCAGUGUUUUGUUAAAUGUGUGUGUAGUUGAUUGGCUAUGCAGGAAGGAUGACUUGUUCCUGUUUUAUGGGUACUCCGAAAAGUUACAUCUAAAAACCAUCUUCAUGAUCCUCAAAGCAAAAGUGUUCUAUGGCCAAGAAUUCGCUCCUUUGUAUCAGUAUCUUGAUGGUGUUUUUUUUUUCUGUUUUGAGGAAGAGAGAACUUCAUUUCAUAUGAUAUGAAAAUUCUUGAAAUCAUCUGGUACAAAAGACUGACACUGUUUCUUUGUACAGGAGCUUGGUGUAACCAGGAACUAACCAAACUAUUGAUUGUUGCAUAAAGAGCUACCACAUGUGCGACACGAAUUAACUCUCUCUUCACCUUGGUGACCUUCAGACUGGACAACGGCUGCACAAUCACUCUCAAAAUUAAAUGGGCCAUGGCACCAGGAGCAGCAAGGUCGAGGCCCUCCCUGAGAGCAUUCAGUUCAGCUUUCCUAGCAUUCAGGCAAUUAGCAAAGCAACAUCGCCUGAGGUGUAGAGUCAGUUCGGGUCAUAGAGAGGCCAGCAGGAGAUCUUCUCAGCUUUGUGGAGGUAGCCCACAUAGGGGCAUCAUUGAGCAGGCUAGCGGCGACCACCAUUGCUCAAAUGCUCCUUCCAGGGAUGCUCAGCAUCCUCCCAACAGAAUAACAAAUCCACAACUCCAACAAUGAGGAGUGAAGAAGAAAAUCAAUACACUGAUGCUCCCUUCGGCGAUGAAGCAGACUCCACACCCUCCAUCGAUUUCUUCAGCAAAGGCCUACAACUCAUCAUACUUUCCUCCGUCCAUGGGGACAAUGCCGCCGAGCACUGAUGAGUCAAACACCAAGCAACAUCAGCACUACCAGUCAUACCAUCCUACUAUGCAAUUUCCUCCAGGCAUGUAUCACCAAAAACAUGUUGUGCUUUAGGUGAAGUAGAACCUGAUGUCUUCUACAUAUCACACAUGUAAGAUGAUGCCAUUAACUAUGUAGUAAGAUGUAAUUAUGUCUUAGUGCUUAUCCAAGGCAAUCCCAUGAACUAUGUAAUUAAGUCUAAUUAUAUAUCACCGCUACUGUCCAUCAUUG